Molecule: long non-coding RNA, 355 nt
Organism: Juglans microcarpa x Juglans regia
Lineage: Eukaryota; Viridiplantae; Streptophyta; Magnoliopsida; Fagales; Juglandaceae
Exons: 2
Source: RefSeq, a predicted model, not a curated record
UGAAUCCAAACCUAACCUUAAUCAUUCACUCGAGGUUCUUCAAAAUAAAUGCGCACGAGAAAUUGAAACCCAUUUAUCCGCUGUUUUGGUUCCCAUGAGACACAUUUAAAUAGGAUUCGUAGACAAAUAAAAAAAAAAGGCUUCUAAACUUUCAUGCUUGGGCAUUCCACGGACCAGUCUAUCAAAAUGCGAAUAGAAGCAUAGCCAAUUGUGCAGAAAGCAGGAUAAACCAUGUAAGAGAGCAACAAAUAGUUGUCAUGAGUCUAGCCUAAGGAUCUAGAAUCAUUAAUAAGUGGAUUGAUCAUACAUGAUCUCCGACAGGAAAGUUCAUUAGUAAGCUGAUUAAUCAUAAUCA